RNAcentral lists this ribosomal RNA (254 nucleotides) under uncultured bacterium. Its description in RNAcentral is "partial 16S ribosomal RNA". It matches the Rfam family "Bacterial small subunit ribosomal RNA", at positions 524 to 776 of the family's 1533-position model. The record is from RNAcentral.
UACGUAGGGUGCAAGCGUUAAUCGGAAUUACUGGGCGUAAAGCGUGCGCAGGCGGUGAUGUAAGACAGUUGUGAAAUCCCCGGGCUCAACCUGGGAACUGCAUCUGUGACUGCAUCGCUGGAGUGCGGCAGAGGGGGAUGGAAUUCCGCGUGUAGCAGUGAGAUGCGUAGAUAUGCGGAGGAACACCGAUGGCGAAGGCAAUCCCCUGGGCCUGCACUGACGGCUCAUGCACGAAAGCGUGGGGAGCAAACAGG